RNAcentral lists this ribosomal RNA (500 nucleotides) under uncultured bacterium. RNAcentral's name for it is "partial 16S ribosomal RNA". It matches the Rfam family "Bacterial small subunit ribosomal RNA", at positions 30 to 523 of the family's 1533-position model. The record is from RNAcentral.
AUUGAACGCUGGCGGCAUGCCUUACACAUGCAAGUCGAACGGUAACGGGUCCUUCGGGAUGCCGACGAGUGGCGAACGGGUGAGUAAUAUAUCGGAACGUGCCCAGUAGUGGGGGAUAACUGCUCGAAAGAGCAGCUAAUACCGCAUACGACCUGAGGGUGAAAGGGGGGGAUCGCAAGACCUCUCGCUAUUGGAGCGGCCGAUAUCAGAUUAGCUAGUUGGUGGGGUAAAGGCCUACCAAGGCAACGACCUGUAGUUGGUCUGAGAGGACGACCAGCCACACUGGGACUGAGACACGGCCCAGACUCCUACGGGAGGCAGCAGUGGGGAAUUUUGGACAAUGGGCGCAAGCCUGAUCCAGCAAUGCCGCGUGCAGGAAGAAGGCCUUCGGGUUGUAAGCUGCUUUUGUCAGGGAAGAAAUCUUCUGGGCUAAUACCCCGGGAGGAUGACGGUACCUGAAGAAUAAGCACCGGCUAACUACGUGCCAGCAGCCGCGGUAA